Molecule: transfer RNA, 74 nt
Filed under: Caldifarciminota bacterium
Lineage: Bacteria; Pseudomonadati; Caldifarciminota
Description: candidate division WOR-3 bacterium (hot springs metagenome) tRNA-Arg
Rfam family: tRNA
About the family: Transfer RNA (tRNA) molecules are approximately 80 nucleotides in length. Their secondary structure includes four short double-helical elements and three loops (D, anti-codon, and T loops). Further hydrogen bonds mediate the characteristic L-shaped molecular structure. tRNAs have two regions of fundamental functional importance: the anti-codon, which is responsible for specific mRNA codon recognition, and the 3' end, to which the tRNAs corresponding amino acid is attached (by aminoacyl-tRNA synthetases). tRNAs cope with the degeneracy of the genetic code in two manners: having more than one tRNA (with a specific anti-codon) for a particular amino acid; and 'wobble' base-pairing, i.e. permitting non-standard base-pairing at the 3rd anti-codon position.
Source: RNAcentral
GCGCCCGUAGCUCAAUAGGAAAGAGCGACGGACUACGAAUCCGUAGGCUGGAGGUUCGAGUCCUCUCGGGCGCA